GAUGAACGCUGACAGAAUGCUUAACACAUGCAAGUCUUUGGCGAAGCUGUGCUCGCACAGCCUAGCCAAGGCGGACGGGUGAGUAACGCGUAAGGAACUUGCCCUGCAGUCAGGGAUAACAGACGGAAACGACUGAUAAGACCUGGUAAAGUCAGGCGGACUCAUGUCCAGCCUGAUGAAAAGGGAUGCUGCAGGAGAGCCUUGCGUCCUAUUAGCUUGUUGGUGGGGUAACGGCCCACCAAGGCGAUGAUAGGUAGCCGGCCUGAGAGGGUGGACGGCCACAAGGGGACUGAGAUACGGCCCUUACUCCUACGGGAGGCAGCAGUGGGGAAUAUUGGACAAUGGGGGCAACCCUGAUCCAGCAAUUCUGUGUGCACGAUGAAGGUUUUCGGAUUGUAAAGUGCUUUCAGCAGGGAAGAAAAAAAUGACGGUACCUGCAGAAGAAGCGACGGCUAAAUACGUG
RNAcentral lists this ribosomal RNA (463 nucleotides) under uncultured bacterium. Its description in RNAcentral is "partial 16S ribosomal RNA". It matches the Rfam family "Bacterial small subunit ribosomal RNA", at positions 28 to 507 of the family's 1533-position model. The record is from RNAcentral.